UACGUAGGGUGCAAGCGUUAAUCGGAAUUACUGGGCGUAAAGCGUGCGUAGGCGGCUUUGCAAGUCAGAUGUGAAAUCCCCGGGCUUAACCUGGGAACUGCAUUUGAGACUGCAUGGCUGGAGUGCGGCAGAGGGGGAUGGAAUUCCGCGUGUAGCAGUGAAAUGCGUAGAUAUGCGGAGGAACACCGAUGGCGAAGGCAAUCCCCUGGGCCUGCACUGACGCUCAUGCACGAAAGCGUGGGGAGCAAACAGG
This 253-nucleotide ribosomal RNA is filed under the name uncultured bacterium. Its description in RNAcentral is "partial 16S ribosomal RNA". It matches the Rfam family "Bacterial small subunit ribosomal RNA", at positions 524 to 776 of the family's 1533-position model. The record is from RNAcentral.